Molecule: small nucleolar RNA, 306 nt
Organism: Cottoperca gobio
Lineage: Eukaryota; Metazoa; Chordata; Actinopteri; Perciformes; Bovichtidae
Source: Ensembl
GCCCAGUGAUGAGACCAAGGCGAAUACUAGCUAACUGACUGAGAGCUGGGUUCCUCUUUGUCUUGACUGGCAGGUAAUCUUGGCAGUGCAGAGGAGCGUUCCUGCUCUGCUGUAAGGGCCUGCCUACAGUGACAUGGCUCAACCCAAAUUAUUCCUCUACAGUCACAGAGUAAUUGCUGGGAUAAAGCUGACAGUUUGUUUUGUGUGUGUGUGUGUGUGUGUGUUUUGUGUAAGAGACGAGGAGUUCACCCAGCUCUCUUUACUGUUCAGUUUGCAAUGAGUUGCUUCUUUGGUAAUCUGAGGGCU